ACAACCCUCAAGCUCAGCUUGGUCUUGAGCCCCGCCGGCGAUGGCGGGCUCCAAAAUCAGUGGCGGCGCCGUCGGGUCCUGAACGCAGUACGAUAUUUCGUUACAGGUGCUCGGCGCGCUCCCGCCAAAACCCAUCUUUCU
This 141-nucleotide ribosomal RNA is filed under the name Ciborinia erythronii. The record is from RNAcentral. Lineage: Eukaryota; Fungi; Ascomycota; Leotiomycetes; Helotiales; Sclerotiniaceae.